UAGGUUGGUGCAAAAGUAAUUGCAGUUUUACAUUACCCUUAAUGGCAAAAACCACAGUUGCUUUUACACCAACCUAAUA
Molecule: microRNA precursor, 79 nt
Filed under: Nomascus leucogenys (northern white-cheeked gibbon)
Lineage: Eukaryota; Metazoa; Chordata; Mammalia; Primates; Hylobatidae
Description: miRNA (ENSNLEG00000027930.1)
Source: RNAcentral